RNAcentral lists this ribosomal RNA (673 nucleotides) under uncultured bacterium. Its description in RNAcentral is "bacterial SSU rRNA". It matches the Rfam family "Bacterial small subunit ribosomal RNA", at positions 94 to 803 of the family's 1533-position model. The record is from RNAcentral.
AGUGGCGAACGGGUGAGUAACGCGUGGGAAUCUGCCCUGGAGUGGGGAACAACAGUUGGAAACGACUGCUAAUACCGCAUACGCCCUGAGGGGGAAAGGCUUCGGCCGCUCUUGGAUGAUCCCGCGUCUGAUUAGCUUGUUGGUGGGGUAACGGCCUACCAAGGCGACGAUCAGUAGCUGGUCUGAGAGGAUGAUCAGCCACACUGGGACUGAGACACGGCCCAGACUCCUACGGGAGGCAGCAGUGGGGAAUAUUGGACAAUGGGGGAAACCCUGAUCCAGCAAUGCCGCGUGAGUGAAGAAGGCCUUAGGGUUGUAAAACUCUUUCGCCGGUGAAGAUGAUGACUGUAGCCGGUAAAGAAGCCCCGGCUAACUCCGUGCCAGCAGCCGCGGUAAUACGGAGGGGGCUAGCGUUGUUCGGAUUUACUGGGCGUAAAGCGCACGUAGGCGGCAUAUUAAGUUAGAGGUGAAAGGCCUGGGCUCAACCUAGGAACUGCCUUUAAUACUGAUAUGCUUGAGUUCGGAAGAGGGUAGUGGAAUUCCAAGUGUAGAGGUGAAAUUCGUAGAUAUUUGGAAGACACCGGGUGGCGAAGGCGGCUACCUGGUCCGAUACUGACGCUGAGUGCGAAAGCGUGGGGAGCGACAGAAUUAGAUACCCUGGUAGUCACGUCGU